CCAAAUGGCAAGGAUCCUCUCACCGACGUCAUGACGUCACGAGAAGCCUCCCCGCCCCCUGGCCUGGCUUUUAUCAGUUUAUCAUAUUAAAAGUGCUUUCACACAGUUAAGGUAAAGGUCACAGAUCAGUUGAACAUCUCAUGAGCCCAGGGGUUCAAGAAUGGGUCUCAAGUGAUUUCUCCUGGUGCCAAAACCAGGAUCUGAUUCAAAUGUGUAGGGAAGCCUUCCUAGCAUUUCCUGCUGAUGUUUUCUAUGGACUUUGUGAAAAGAAACUUGCAGAACUUGACCCCCAUCACUGUAUGUGGCCCCCUCAGUGGCUGGGUUCACCUCGACCUUUACUCACUUGAUCUCCAAACCAUUCGACCUACUGUCCACACUGGAAUGAUGUGACUGGAAAAAGCUGUCAAAGAGUUGAACUCAUACAACAUGUGUACGUAAUGAUGAAGCAUGCCUUGAAUAAACCUGGUGUAAUAAACCUUUUUUUCACAG
Solea solea (common sole) is the source of this 489-nucleotide long non-coding RNA. RefSeq lists it as uncharacterized. NCBI's taxonomy places the organism in Eukaryota, Metazoa, Chordata, Actinopteri, Pleuronectiformes, Soleidae. The record is from RefSeq and is a predicted model, not a curated record. The transcript has 2 exons.